GCCGCGUGGUGCGCCUGGGGCGCAGCUCGGUUGUCUCCCGAGUGAGACGGGUUCGAUUCCCGUACGUGGCGCCA
This 74-nucleotide transfer RNA is filed under the name Sandaracinus sp. Its description in RNAcentral is "tRNA-Asp". RNAcentral also lists the same sequence under 1 other name. The record is from RNAcentral. Lineage: Bacteria; Pseudomonadati; Myxococcota; Polyangiales; Sandaracinaceae.